RNAcentral lists this ribosomal RNA (253 nucleotides) under uncultured bacterium. RNAcentral describes it as "partial 16S ribosomal RNA". It matches the Rfam family "Bacterial small subunit ribosomal RNA", at positions 524 to 776 of the family's 1533-position model. RNAcentral also lists the same sequence under 2 other names. The record is from RNAcentral.
UACGAAGGGGGCUAGCGUUGUUCGGAAUCACUGGGCGUAAAGGGCGCGUAGGCGGCUUUGUAAGUCGGGGGUGAAAGCCUGUGGCUCAACCACAGAAUUGCCUUCGAUACUGCAUGGCUUGAGACCGGAAGAGGUAAGUGGAACUGCGAGUGUAGAGGUGAAAUUCGUAGAUAUUCGCAAGAACACCAGUGGCGAAGGCGGCUUACUGGUCCGGUUCUGACGCUGAGGCGCGAAAGCGUGGGGAGCAAACAGG